RNAcentral lists this unclassified non-coding RNA (655 nucleotides) under Hevea brasiliensis (rubber tree). The record is from RNAcentral. Lineage: Eukaryota; Viridiplantae; Streptophyta; Magnoliopsida; Malpighiales; Euphorbiaceae.
CGAGCAGCAGUGGCAUCUUGAAAUGAGUUAGGGACAGAAAGAAUAUCUUGUCUAUAAAUAUCAGACCAUUUCUCCGCAAUAGCAGCUGGAUCAGUGAUAGCACCAAGUUGAGCAGGCCUUACCAUACUGGAAGGCAUAUCAGAUGACUCAGUUUGUCUAGUUUGAGAGCCUUCAAGUUCAGACCAGAACAAGCCAAAAGGGUGCAACUUAUUAUCGCUCUGAUAUGGUAAACCAGGUUUUGUCAAUUCAUUUGGAAGAGAUGGUUGACCAUUAGAUUUUGCUACAGGAUCACAAACAUUCUUGCACAGUAGGAUAGCCACUACUGCCAGGUCUUCCUGGAAAAACAAUUUCUUCAUCAUGUGCAAUAAAGUCAUGAAAGCUUUGGCCCUCAGAAUGUGGCAACUGAAGUGGAUUUUCAGGCUCAGACAUUCUUGACUGAACAUGCUGAGCUGAGAAGCUAGUUAAAUCGGACAAUGGCUGACACAGCUCAUUUAUUACAUCGGUAUUUUCUGGAGCAGUAAGAGGUAAACUAGGCUUCAACUUUCCUCCUAAAGCACCAGACUGUUCCUGCUCAGAACUGGGAUACACUCCUCUCAGUUUUAGGUGUGGCAUCACCUCUCCCAAACUUUGGAAAGGUGUGCCUUCAGGAGCAUCU